CCUACGGGUGGCUGCAGUGAGGAAUAUUGGUCAAUGGGCGGGAGCCUGAACCAGCCAAGUCGCGUGAGGGAAGACGGUCCUAUGGAUUGUAAACCUCUUUAGGCGGGGAGCAAUGCCGGGCACGUGUGCCCGGAGGGAGAGUACCCGCAGAAUAAGCAUCGGCUAACUCCGUGCCAGCAGCCGCGGUAAUACGGAGGAUGCGAGCGUUAUCCGGAUUUAUUGGGUUUAAAGGGUGCGUAGGCGGAUUUUUAAGUCAGCGGUAAAAUGUCCGGGCUCAACCCGGGCCGGCCGUUGAAACUGGGGAUCUUGAGUGGGCGAGAAGUAUGCGGAAUGCGUGGUGUAGCGGUGAAAUGCAUAGAUAUCUGGAGGAACAUCAGUGGCGAAGGCGACUAUCUGGCACAUAACUGACGCUGAGGAGCGAAAGCGUGGGUAGCAAACAGGAUUAGAUACCCCUGUAGUC
This 460-nucleotide ribosomal RNA is filed under the name uncultured bacterium. Its description in RNAcentral is "partial 16S ribosomal RNA". It matches the Rfam family "Bacterial small subunit ribosomal RNA", at positions 338 to 795 of the family's 1533-position model. The record is from RNAcentral.